Molecule: ribosomal RNA, 484 nt
Filed under: uncultured bacterium
Lineage: Bacteria
Description: partial 16S ribosomal RNA
Rfam family: Bacterial small subunit ribosomal RNA
Source: RNAcentral
AUUGAACGCUGGCGGCAUGCUUUACACAUGCAAGUCGAACGGCAGCGCGGGCUUCGGCCUGGCGGCGAGUGGCGAACGGGUGAGUAAUGCAUCGGAACGUGCCCAGUAGUGGGGGAUAGCCCGGCGAAAGCCGGAUUAAUACCGCAUACGACCUGAGGGUGAAAGCGGGGGACCGAAAGGCCUCGCGCUAUUGGAGCGGCCGAUGUCGGAUUAGCGAGUUGGUGGGGUAAAGGCUUACCAAGGCGACGAUCCGUAGCUGGUCUGAGGGGACGACCCGCCACACUGGGACUGAGACACGGCCCAGACUCCUACGGGAGGCAGCAGUGGGGAAUUUUGGACAAUGGGGGCAACCCUGAUCCAGCCAUGCCGCGUGCGGGAAGAAGGCCUUCGGGUUGUAAACCGCUUUUGUUCGGGAAGAAAUACUCUGGGCUAAUACCCCGGGGGGAUGACGGUACCGGAAGAAUAAGCACCGGCUAACUACGUG